RNAcentral lists this transfer RNA (72 nucleotides) under Elasmosoma sp. QL-2014. Its description in RNAcentral is "tRNA-Val". Lineage: Eukaryota; Metazoa; Arthropoda; Insecta; Hymenoptera; Braconidae. The record is from RNAcentral.
AAAAUUUUAGUUUAAAAAAAACUUAAUAAUUACAAUAUUAAAAUAUAUGUUUAUAUUAAAAUAUAAAUUUUA